Molecule: ribosomal RNA, 2141 nt
Filed under: Escherichia coli DEC4D
Lineage: Bacteria; Pseudomonadati; Pseudomonadota; Gammaproteobacteria; Enterobacterales; Enterobacteriaceae
Description: bacterial LSU rRNA
Rfam family: Bacterial large subunit ribosomal RNA
Source: RNAcentral
UUAAGCGACUAAGCGUACACGGUGGAUGCCCUGGCAGUCAGAGGCGAUGAAGGACGUGCUAAUCUGCGAUAAGCGUCGGUAAGGUGAUAUGAACCGUUAUAACCGGCGAUUUCCGAAUGGGGAAACCCAGUGUGAUUCGUCACACUAUCAUUAACUGAAUCCAUAGGUUAAUGAGGCGAACCGGGGGAACUGAAACAUCUAAGUACCCCGAGGAAAAGAAAUCAACCGAGAUUCCCCCAGUAGCGGCGAGCGAACGGGGAGGAGCCCAGAGCCUGAAUCAGUGUGUGUGUUAGUGGAAGCGUCUGGAAAGGCGCGCGAUACAGGGUGACAGCCCCGUACACAAAAAUGCACAUGCUGUGAGCUCGAUGAGUAGGGCGGGACACGUGGUAUCCUGUCUGAAUAUGGGGGGACCAUCCUCCAAGGCUAAAUACUCCUGACUGACCGAUAGUGAACCAGUACCGUGAGGGAAAGGCGAAAAGAACCCCGGCGAGGGGAGUGAAAAAGAACCUGAAACCGUGUACGUACAAGCAGUGGGAGCACAGAGCAAUCUGUGUGACUGCGUACCUUUUGUAUAAUGGGUCAGCGACUUAUAUUCUGUAGCAAGGUUAACCGAAUAGGGGAGCCGAAGGGAAACCGAGUCUUAACCGGGCGUUAAGUUGCAGGGUAUAGACCCGAAACCCGGUGAUCUAGCCAUGGGCAGGUUGAAGGUUGGGUAACACUAACUGGAGGACCGAACCGACUAAUGUUGAAAAAUUAGCGGAUGACUUGUGGCUGGGGGUGAAAGGCCAAUCAAACCGGGAGAUAGCUGGUUCUCCCCGAAAGCUAUUUAGGUAGCGCCUCGUGAAUUCAUCUCCGGGGGUAGAGCACUGUUUCGGCAAGGGGGUCAUCCCGACUUACCAACCCGAUGCAAACUGCGAAUACCGGAGAAUGUUAUCACGGGAGACACACGGCGGGUGCUAACGUCCGUCGUGAAGAGGGAAACAACCCAGACCGCCAGCUAAGGUCCCAAGGUCAUGGUUAAGUGGGAAACGAUGUGGGAAGGCCCAGACAGCCAGGAUGUUGGCUUAGAAGCAGCCAUCAUUUAAAGAAAGCGUAAUAGCUCACUGGUCGAGUCGGCCUGCGCGGAAGAUGUAACGGGGCUAAACCAUGCACCGAAGCUGCGGCAGCGACACUGUGUGUUGUUGGGUAGGGGAGCGUUCUGUAAGCCUGUGAAGGUGUACUGUGAGGUAUGCUGGAGGUAUCAGAAGUGCGAAUGCUGACAUAAGUAACGAUAAAGCGGGUGAAAAGCCCGCUCGCCGGAAGACCAAGGGUUCCUGUCCAACGUUAAUCGGGGCAGGGUGAGUCGACCCCUAAGGCGAGGCCGAAAGGCGUAGUCGAUGGGAAACAGGUUAAUAUUCCUGUACUUGGUGUUACUGCGAAGGGGGGAUGGAGAAGGCUAUGUUGGCCGGGCGACGGUUGUCCCGGUUUAAGCGUGUAGGCUGGUUUUCCAGGCAAAUCCGGAAAAUCAAGGCUGAGGCGUGAUGACGAGGCACUACGGUGCUGAAGCAACAAAUGCCCUGCUUCCAGGAAAAGCCUCUAAGCAUCAGGUAACAUCAAAUCGUACCCCAAACCGACACAGGUGGUCAGGUAGAGAAUACCAAGGCGCUUGAGAGAACUCGGGUGAAGGAACUAGGCAAAAUGGUGCCGUAACUUCGGGAGAUGGCACGCUGAUAUGUAGGUGAAGUCCCUCGCGGAUGGAGCUGAAAUCAGUCGAAGAUACCAGCUGGCUGCAACUGUUUAUUAAAAACACAGCACUGUGCAAACACGAAAGUGGACGUAUACGGUGUGACGCCUGCCCGGUGCCGGAAGGUUAAUUGAUGGGGUCAGCGCAAGCGAAGCUCUUGAUCGAAGCCCCGGUAAACGGCGGCCGUAACUAUAACGGUCCUAAGGUAGCGAAAUUCCUUGUCGGGUAAGUUCCGACCUGCACGAAUGGCGUAAUGAUGGCCAGGCUGUCUCCACCCGAGACUCAGUGAAAUUGAACUCGCUGUGAAGAUGCAGUGUACCCGCGGCAAGACGGAAAGACCCCCGUGAACCUUUACUAUAGCUUGACACUGAACAUUGAGCCUUGAUGUGUAGGAUAGGUGGGAGGCUUUGAAGUGUGG